AUUGAACGCUGGCGGCAUGCCUUACACAUGCAAAUCGAACGGUAACGGGCCUUCGGGUGCCGACGAGUGGCGAACGGGUGAGUAAUACAUCGGAACGUGCCCGAUCGUGGGGGAUAACGAGGCGAAAGCUUUGCUAAUACCGCAUACGAUCUACGGAUGAAAGCAGGGGACCGCAAGGCCUUGCGCGGACGGAGCGGCCGAUGGCAGAUUAGGUAGUUGGUGGGAUAAAAGCUUACCAAGCCUACGAUCUGUAGCUGGUCUGAGAGGAUGAUCAGCCACACUGGGACUGAGACACGGCCCAGACUCCUACGGGAGGCAGCAGUGGGGAAUUUUGGACAAUGGGCGCAAGCCUGAUCCAGCCAUGCCGCGUGCAGGAUGAAGGCCUUCGGGUUGUAAACUGAUUUUGUACGGAACGAAAAGCCUUCUUUUAAUACAGGAGGGUCAUGACGGUACCGUAAGAAUAAGCACCGGCUAACUACGUG
RNAcentral lists this ribosomal RNA (482 nucleotides) under uncultured bacterium. Its description in RNAcentral is "partial 16S ribosomal RNA". It matches the Rfam family "Bacterial small subunit ribosomal RNA", at positions 30 to 507 of the family's 1533-position model. The record is from RNAcentral.